AGGGUUUGUGGUAGUCCUUCCAACAGUGAGCUUCUGGUUGGAUUUCUUGCCCUAUGUGUCAAGCUGAUAUUGCUGCAUCAGUAGGCUAUGUUAAACCAUUUAUGUUAACCUGAUAUGCUGUAUCUGUACAGGGAAAAAGUUGAACAUUAGGUUCACAACCAGGGCUAAACUUAACAGAUAUCUUGAUGAGGGUGACAUCACACCACGGCAGGUGGAUUCAUUCCAUGAAGAUGUGUUUCCUAACAAGUGCUGUGGGCUAUGCACUUAAGAAGCUGCCCAUGGAAGAGCCACUGAUCAAACACGCAUAAUUUGCAGAUGUGCGGCAGAGGGCUGAAAGUGGCAUUGAAGAUGUCCUGUACUUUGUUGAAAGGUUUCCCCAUCUCCUCCCAUACCAUGGGCCAGAGGAGCAUGACCACCUGGGUGAGGAGUUUCUGAAUUAUCGGACCAUGCCAACAACCUCCCUUCAGGACGAAACUGAGAUGGAAAGCUUCUGGGCUGGAAUGGCAACACGGAAACAUAAGGUGACAGGAGCCAAAGAAUUUGAGAGGCUUGCUGCCGUCGCCAAGCUGGUUCUGGUGUUGCCCCAUUCGAAUGCAGAUGCUGAGAGGGUGUUUUCAGUUGUGGGACUGAACAAAACUAAGACCAGAAAUAGCCUGGCAUUGGAUGGCACCCUGUCCUCAAUAAUGGCCAUAAAGAUGGCCGACCUGGAGCCCUGUUUCAGAUGGGAGCCCCCCUCAGAGGUCAUCAGGGCCUCCAAGAAGGCCACAGGCCAGUACAACCUUGCCCACAGAUCUUAGAAAAUGACUAACCAGCUUCUGAUCUGCAUCUGAUACCUCAUUUUUAGUUAUUUUUGUCAUGUGUUGAUCCAUUGUAUUGCUUAAAAAGGCUACUGUAUAAGCACUUUAUUUGUUGCUCUUUUUUGUUUGAUGGAACGUGUGGUUGGAGGCUUUGAAUAAUGAAAAAUAUUUCUCCCUAACUAAUGUUGUGUAAUUUUUUGCUGAACAUAAAUCAUUAAGUGCUC
Long non-coding RNA from Clupea harengus (Atlantic herring), 1021 nucleotides. NCBI's taxonomy places the organism in Eukaryota, Metazoa, Chordata, Actinopteri, Clupeiformes, Clupeidae. The record is from Ensembl.